ACUCAAAUGAAUAGACGGGGGCUCACACAAGCGGUGGAGGAUGUGGUUUAAUUCGAAGCAACGCGCAGAACCUUACCAGGUCUUGACAUACCGGGAUUAACUUCGUGAAAGCGAGGGGAUUGCCAGCAAUGGUGUAACCGGAACAGGUGCUGCAUGGCUGUCGUCAGCUCGUGCCGUGAGGUGUUAGGUUAAGUCCUUUAACGAGCGAAACCCCUACAUUUAGUUACCAGCGCGUAAAGGCGGGGACUCUAGAUGGACUGCCGCGCAAGCAGGAGGAAGGUGGGGACGACGUCAAGUCAUCAUGGCCUUUAUGACCUGGGCCACACACGUCCUACAAUGGAUUGUACAAAGGGAUGCAAAGCCGCGAGGCGAAGCCAAUCCUGGAAAGCAAUCCUCAGUUCAGAUUGUGGGCUGCAAUUCGCCCACAUGAAGCUGGAAUCGCUAGUAAUCGCGGAUCAGCCACGCCGCGGUGAAUUUGUUCCUGAGCCUUGUACACACCGCCCGU
This 505-nucleotide ribosomal RNA is filed under the name uncultured bacterium. RNAcentral describes it as "partial 16S ribosomal RNA". It matches the Rfam family "Bacterial small subunit ribosomal RNA", at positions 899 to 1397 of the family's 1533-position model. The record is from RNAcentral.